This is a small nucleolar RNA of Humulus lupulus (European hop), 107 nucleotides long. NCBI's taxonomy places the organism in Eukaryota, Viridiplantae, Streptophyta, Magnoliopsida, Rosales, Cannabaceae. The record is from RefSeq and is a predicted model, not a curated record.
AUGUAGUGAUGGAGAUACUUUCUCAACAAUUCUUUAAACAUCUCCCAUGCGUCAUAUAAUGAUUCCCCAUCAGUCUGGAAGAAGUUAUUAAUUUCUCCUCGAAACCU